This 468-nucleotide ribosomal RNA is filed under the name uncultured bacterium. Its description in RNAcentral is "partial 16S ribosomal RNA". It matches the Rfam family "Bacterial small subunit ribosomal RNA", at positions 28 to 507 of the family's 1533-position model. The record is from RNAcentral.
GACGAACGCUGGCGGCGUGCUUAACACAUGCAAGUCGAACGGAAAGGCCCUGCUUUUGUGGGGUGCUCGAGUGGCGAACGGGUGAGUAACACGUGAGUAACCUGCCCUUGACUUUGUGAUAACUUCAGGAAACUUGGGCUAAUACCGGAUAUGAGCUCCUGCUGCAUGGUGGGGGUUGGAAAGUUUCGGCGGUUGGGGAUGGACUCGCGGCUUAUCAGCUUGUUGGUGGGGUAGUGGCUUACCAAGGCUUUGACGGGUAGCCGGCCUGAGAGGGUGACCGGCGACAUUGGGACUGAGAGACGGCACAGACGCCUACGGGAGGCAGCAGUGGGGAAUAUUGCACAAUGGGCGGAAGCCUGAUGCAGAAACGCCGGGUGCGGGAUGACGGCCUUCGGGUUGUAAACCGAUUUCGCCUGUGACGAAGAGUGAGUGACGGUAAUGGGUAAAGAAGCACCGGCUAACUACGUG